UUCAUGUCUGUGUUUUGUUCUCAAAAUACAACUUGUGCAGGGUGCGUGAUUUGCUGCCACGAAAUAGUGGUUUUAAAAGUCACAAAAGGCAGAACUUUUCAAAUCCUGCACACAAUGGAAAUCACAGACCCAUCUACAAUUUUAACUAGGAAACUUUGGAUUGAUGUGGUGUUGGGUAUACAGGUAGCAAGUGUAAGCAUUGGUUAAGGGGUAUGGUUGGUAUAGUGAGGGUCAGCUUUAACUAAAUAUGCAUUUAGAUUCUAGACUUAUUAAGCAUUUAAUCAGGACUGAUAUAUGCAUCUUUAUUUUGUUUUUUAUUUAGUUGCAGAUGUGUAAAAUUAACAGCUGAAAUAUCAAAACUGAAGGAACACUAUUGUCUGGAACCCAAACUAGGGAUCGACUGUGAAUCAGUCUGGC
This is a non-coding RNA of Pelobates cultripes (western spadefoot toad), 417 nucleotides long. NCBI's taxonomy places the organism in Eukaryota, Metazoa, Chordata, Amphibia, Anura, Pelobatidae. The record is from the annotation of a GenBank genome assembly.